Molecule: ribosomal RNA, 236 nt
Filed under: uncultured bacterium
Lineage: Bacteria
Description: partial 16S ribosomal RNA
Rfam family: Bacterial small subunit ribosomal RNA
Source: RNAcentral
CGGGACGGGUGAGUAACGCGUGGGUAACCUGCCUCACACAGGGGAGUAACAGUUGGAAACGGCUGCUAAUACCGCAUAAGCGCACAGUACCGCAUGGUACGGUGUGAAAAACUCCGGUGGUGUGAGAUGGACCCGCGUCUGAUUAGCUAGUUGGCAGGGCAGCGGCCUACCAAGGCGACGAUCAGUAGCCGACCUGAGAGGGUGACCGGCCACAUUGGGACUGAGACACGGCCCAA